RNAcentral lists this transfer RNA (72 nucleotides) under Stegodyphus mimosarum. It matches the Rfam family "tRNA". Rfam says of the family: Transfer RNA (tRNA) molecules are approximately 80 nucleotides in length. Their secondary structure includes four short double-helical elements and three loops (D, anti-codon, and T loops). The record is from Rfam by way of RNAcentral. Lineage: Eukaryota; Metazoa; Arthropoda; Arachnida; Araneae; Eresidae.
GCCUUCGUGGUGUAACGGUUAGCACACUCGGCGCGUAUUCGAGAGGUCCAGGUUCGAAUCUCGGCGAGGGCA